RNAcentral lists this long non-coding RNA (1495 nucleotides) under Vulpes vulpes (red fox). Its description in RNAcentral is "lncRNA (ENSVVUG00000022672.1)". The record is from RNAcentral. Lineage: Eukaryota; Metazoa; Chordata; Mammalia; Carnivora; Canidae.
GCCCGAAGCCCCACGUCCCUGAGCUCCGGGUGGUGAGGCCUCGGCUCCCGGUGCCCUUGGCAGCCGCCUUCGGGUUUACAGAGAGAGCCGGCGAGCUCCGCGCCCGGCCCCAUGGGCACCUCUGCUCCUUGAGCUCCGGGGUGUCUGCCUAAGGGGCCCUGGUCUCCGAAGCCACGGAAGAGCGGGUGCAACCUCUCUGAGCGCCCGUACCAAGCCUGCUCUACGGCAGGUGCGUCUCGUGGACACACGCGCGCGACUGUCGGGGUAAGAUCAACACGGAGACUUCGCGCCUCCGCGUUCCGAGAGGCGCUCGGGGCUGCUGCCUCCUCUCAACCACCUUUGCCCCAAAGACCCCAGAAGGACCUAGUGAGUCCAGGCCCCCUUGCCUCUGCCCUUGGUGGGAGACUUGAGGGGCCCGCCGGGUGCUGCCUACAUGACUUGCUGAGCCUCCUCGGGUGUGGGUGUGGCAGGCAGGGGGAGCUGGGAGGCGUGUCCAGGACAGAGGUGACUGACUGGCCGGAGGAGGGGGAGCCCACUGAGGAGAGUGCCAGCUACAUAAGGGCCAGCCCAGCCCAGCCCGGAGCUCUCUGGGAGGUGCCAGGUGCCAGGAUGAAGGCUGCUGCUCUGCUGGUGGUACUGCUGUGCUCAGGUGGAGCCUGGGCCAUAAGAUGCCACAACUGCACGAACCCUAACGGGAACACCUGCUCAGGACCCGUAGACUGCCCCAGCAACGCCAACGCCUGCGCUUCAUAUUUGCUGAAUGUCAAACUGCCAGACAAGACGUUGGACACGGCAAUCAAGACCUGUAUGCAAUCGUGCGAGAGCCUCAACCCCAUGCCAUCCCGUGCUUCAUCCGGAGCUUUAGUCAGCGAUCUACAUGCCUCCAUCUACUGUUGCAGCACCAACCUGUGUAACCGAGCUGGGGGCCCAGGGCCAGGGGCCACCACCGUGGGCCUGAUGCUUGUGGCCAGUGUCCUUGUCACCCUCCUAGGGGCCUCCCUGUGACCCAGAGGUGCGGGACAUGAUUGAGGCAGCACAACCCAGGACACCCAGACCCCUAAGCCCCUGUCCCCAUCAGGCUGUCUGUGAGCUCAUAAAUUGAAGACAGAGUACAGAGGAAGUGGAGGGCCUGGUGGGGUGGUUACAGAGGACCACGCCCAUUCGCCCCAGAUCUUCAAGGCCAACAGAGGCACCCCACCCCAGCACACCAACGCAGAGAACCUCCUGGAGUCUUUGGCUUUUUCUGGGUGUCCUGCCCGGGGCCUUCAGCCAUCAGUGCCAGGCCUACCACAGUCCUCGGGGAGCUGCUCCCCCAGUUGUGCAGAGACUUUCCGUCGCCCUGGGUGGAGUGUGAACCCAAGGCCUGACUUCCAGCCCAGAGCCACUGGCCAGGCUGGGGCUCCACCCGCAGCGUCCCCUUCCUGCGGCACCGCUUGUCCCUGUCCGACCCCCUGCCCGUGCCCCCCACUUCCCCAGGAGUAGCUCUGGAAUAAAG